GAUGAACGCUGGCGGCGUGCCUAAUACAUGCAAUUCGAGCGAACGGACGAGAAGCUUGCUUCUCUGAUGUUAGCGGCGGACGGGUUAGUAACACGUGGAUAACCUACCUAUAAGACUUGGAUAACUUCGGGAAACCGGAGCUAAUACCGGAUAAUAUUUUGAACCGCAUUGUUCAAAAGUAAAAGACGGUCUUUCUGUCACUUAUAGAUGGAUCCGCGCUGCAUUAGCUAGUUGGUAAGGUAACGGCUUACCAAGGCAACGAUGCAUAGCCGACCUGAGAGGGUGAUCGGCCACACUGGAACUGAGACACGGUCCAGACUCCUACGGGAGGCAGCAGUAGGGAAUCUUCCGCAAUGGGCGAAAGCCUGACGGAGCAACGCCGCGUGAGUGAUGAAGGUCUUCGGAUCGUAAAACUCUGUUAUUAGGGAAGAACAUAUGUGUAAGUAACUGUGCACAUCUUGACGGUACCUAAUCAGAAAGCCACGGCUAACUACGUG
RNAcentral lists this ribosomal RNA (497 nucleotides) under uncultured bacterium. RNAcentral describes it as "partial 16S ribosomal RNA". It matches the Rfam family "Bacterial small subunit ribosomal RNA", at positions 28 to 507 of the family's 1533-position model. The record is from RNAcentral.